This 267-nucleotide unclassified non-coding RNA is filed under the name Ascomycota sp. RNAcentral describes it as "partial contains small subunit ribosomal RNA, internal transcribed spacer 1, and 5.8S ribosomal RNA". The stretch from base 1 to 47 matches the Rfam family "Eukaryotic small subunit ribosomal RNA", at positions 1785 to 1831 of the family's 1831-position model. The record is from RNAcentral. Lineage: Eukaryota; Fungi; Ascomycota.
AAAGUCGUAACAAGGUUUCCGUAGGUGAACCUGCGGAAGGAUCAUUACAAUUCAGUAGCUUGCUACUGUAAGGAGGUGCUGUAAGCCCGCAUAGUUUAAUUACUGAUGAGCGGCAGGCCCUCUGUUUGUACCCUUGUCUCUUGCGCACUCAUGUUUCCUCGGCGGGCUUGCCCGCCGAUUGGACAAAACUAUAACCUUUUUAAUUUUCAAUCAGCGUCUGAAAAAACUUAAUAAUUACAACUUUCAACAACGGAUCUCUUGGUUCUG